UGAGGAAUAUUGGUCAAUGGGCGGGAGCCUGAACCAGCCAAGCCGCGUGAGGGAAGAAGGCCCUAUGGGUCGUAAACCUCUUUUGUCAGGGAACAAAAGCGAGUAUGUAUACUAGUCUGAGUGUACCUGAAGAAAAAGCAUCGGCUAACUCCGUGCCAGCAGCCGCGGUAAUACGGAGGAUGCGAGCGUUAUCCGGAUUUAUUGGGUUUAAAGGGUGCGUAGGCGGCGAUGCAAGUCAGCGGUAAAAGCCCGGGGCUCAACCCCGGCGAGCCGUUGGAAUCUGCAGUGCUAGAGAAGGCGAGAGGUACGCGGAAUGCGCAGUGUAGCGGUGAAAUGCUUAGAUAUUGCGCAGAACUCCGAUUGCGAAGGCAGCGUACUGGCGCCUGACUGACGCUGAGGCACGAAAGCGUGGGGAUCGAACAGGAUUAGAUACC
Molecule: ribosomal RNA, 434 nt
Filed under: uncultured bacterium
Lineage: Bacteria
Description: bacterial SSU rRNA
Rfam family: Bacterial small subunit ribosomal RNA
Source: RNAcentral